This 223-nucleotide unclassified non-coding RNA is filed under the name plant metagenome. RNAcentral's name for it is "partial contains small subunit ribosomal RNA, internal transcribed spacer 1, and 5.8S ribosomal RNA". The record is from RNAcentral.
UCUCCGUUGGUGAACCAGCGGAGGGAUCAUUACAGGACUCGCAAGACUCCUUCACCCUGUGAACCUCACUACAAGCACGUUGCUUCGGCGGGUGUCCCGGCGAGGGUUUCCCUCGCCGGGGCGCACAGCCCGCCGGCAGCCUACUAUACUCUGUCUCUUUGCGUUGGCAUCUCGAGAAAAAACAAACAAGUUAAAACUUUCAACAACGGAUCUCUUGGUUCUG